UGCCUUGUGCUCUGGGGAUAAAACAGACCAAUGGAUGAUGCAUACUAGUGCGCAUACUAGUGCACAACAGGCACAGUUACGAAUGCGUGAAUUUGAUGGGAAUCUCAGUGCCAAGAAGUUAUGGGGCUCCAUAGGCUCUGAUGCAUUCGACAGCCAAUGUGGGCAUUAAACCUCUCGAUCCGCCCUACUGCUUCAUGGGCCUGUCAAUUUGGAUGUAGCACUCUUACCGUUCCAAGUCUCCGUAGCUAUGAGUGAAUUGAGCUUACAGACUCGUCACUUGAUGCCGCCUAACAUCAACCCU
This 301-nucleotide small RNA is filed under the name Histoplasma ohiense. RNAcentral describes it as "hypothetical lncRNA". Lineage: Eukaryota; Fungi; Ascomycota; Eurotiomycetes; Onygenales; Ajellomycetaceae. The record is from RNAcentral.